AAAAAUACUAUUUGCAUCGCAUGCAACAAUGAAUCGACGCACAAGACGAACGAUGUGCGUCGUAUGUAACUAACGUGCGAUGCAAAUCAUCUAUGUGCGUCGCAUGAAGCCCAUAGUGCGACGCACAUAACAAAGUAAUCUGCGUCGGACCCUUGGCCCAUCCGACGCAGAUCGGCCCAAAAUCCACAAUGCGCGACUUUUAAACACUCCUCUCCCCUAACUUCUCUCAAACCCUAACUUCAUCUCUCUCUCUCUCUCAACUACCGUCAUCUCUCUCUCUCUCACCUUAGCAUCGUCUCUCUCUCUCUCACCUUACCAUCGUCUCUCUCUCACCUUACCAUCGUCUCUCUCUCACCCACCUUAUACAGAACUCAACGACGACGCACCUUACCUUCGACGCAAGUGAAUCUCAACAACGAAAUCAUUCAUCUUCUUAGUUUCGUGAAUCUCAACAACGAAAUCUCAACAACGCAAGUGAAUCGCACCUUACCUUCGACGCAAGUGACUUUCAAAUUCGUUUUGUGAAGAUCUUCUCGAAGUCUUGUAGUUGCGUUUGAGGUGAAGAUCUGGAUUGCUAUGAAAUUAUAUGAAAUUCUCGAAGAUCUGAAAUUUCGACUGGAUUUCUGUGAAGAUUACGUUUGAGUUUUGUAUUUUAUUUUUAAUUUUAUCUCCCCUUCAUCUUCUGAUUAGGGUUAGAAUUUCUUUUUUCUAUUUUUGAUUUAGUUUCUUGAUUGUUCGUUUUAUUUUUAGAUCUGAUGAGGAUUAAUAGUUAUGAUAAGUCCCAUAGUGGGUGGGAUAUUUUUAGAUCUGAUGAGGAUUAUUUUUAGAUCUGAUGAGGAUCGACAAUCAUCAUUCAUGGACAGGAUAAACUUGUGUUAGGUACCCUUCAAGAACUCGAGCUUUGGAAGGAGAAUGCGCUCAAAGAUGGGUUUGAAGUGGGAUAUAGAAAUCAUCUAAAUCUUUACAGAAAGGGAUUUACUGCUUGUAAAGAUUAACUCUGCACUCCUCUCUUCCUCAUAACUCAGCUGUAUUUUUUUCAAUUAAAAUUAUAUAAAACUAUGUAACAUCUAGUAUUUUUUGCUGUUUUUAAAUUUAGAUCUGAUGAUUUAUAAAACAGUUGUAUUCGGGUUUUUUGAUUGUUUCAA
This is a long non-coding RNA of Beta vulgaris subsp. vulgaris (sugar beet), 1145 nucleotides long. RefSeq lists it as uncharacterized. The record is from RefSeq and is a predicted model, not a curated record. NCBI's taxonomy places the organism in Eukaryota, Viridiplantae, Streptophyta, Magnoliopsida, Caryophyllales, Amaranthaceae. The transcript has 2 exons.